Anolis carolinensis (green anole) is the source of this 1759-nucleotide long non-coding RNA. RefSeq lists it as uncharacterized. NCBI's taxonomy places the organism in Eukaryota, Metazoa, Chordata, Lepidosauria, Squamata, Anolidae. The transcript has 2 exons. The record is from RefSeq and is a predicted model, not a curated record.
GUGAAACCCGCCCCCGCCGCCGCCGCACGCGACCGGCGCGUGCAGCGAGCGAGCCAAGCGUGUGUAUGUGUGCGCGCGCAGGGCUCCCCCUCCCCAACGGUUCUAGGGAAGGGGUGCGCCGCGUGGGGAGGCGAAGCAGGCACGCGCGUGCGCGCAGGCGCAGUCCGCCUCUCUCCUGGCGCGCGUGCCCGGGAGCGUGACUGCGGUCCUUCAGAACUGCAGUCAGGCGGUUGAAGCACGAGGGAGGAGGAGGAGGCGGCGGCGGCGGCGGCACGGCGUCCUCCUACUUUUGGCAUGACGCCUCACAACUUGGCGUUUCAAGGAUCUUCAGCUGGGCUUCUUCAAGAGUGCCGACCGCAAGCGAGGGGCAGAUCCGGGCCAGAACGGCAAGGACUUGGACUGAGGCUCCACUUCUCCGCCAAGGGACUCACUCGGUGACCCCUCGCUGCUGCCCGGUGUGGUGGUCCGGCACCCGGCUUGGCUUCCCUCCUCCCAUCAUCCACAGGAGCAGGGAGGGGAGACCAGGCCAAGGCUCUUCACACUGGGUCUCCCAUUUCCUUCUGCUUCAGACACUGGACGCACACAGAGCAGACUCCGAAGGGAGACUCGUCCACCCGUCCCUCCGUCCCUCCCCAAAGUGACCAGGUGCCUUGUGAGGCGGCCCCGAAACACCUUGACCUCUCAGCAAUGCAAAGAUGCACCUCCUGCCUGGGGACACACUUCUUUCUGGAGGAAGACGUCACAUGCUUUCAACAGUGGGGUCAACCUGAGCCCUUUUCUUCCUGGGAGACUGAGGGUUUUCAUUGGUGCUGCUUCCUUCACCGGUUCCAAGAGUUUUCUGUUUGUUCUUCUUGGUCUUGCUUAGCUUCAUAAAGAAGAGGGCCAUGGAAACACAGAUUCAUUUAGAUAGGAUAGAUCUAUUAGAUAGCUUGAUUACAUAGAUUACAUAGAUCCAUUAGAUAAAAUAGGAUAGAUAGAUUAGAUAGAUAAAAUAUUAGAUAGAUCCAUUAGAUAGAUAUAGGAUAGAUAGAUUAGAUACAUAGAUAAGAUAGAUUAGAUAGAUAAAAUAAAUUAGAUAAUUCAAUUAGAUAGAUACUCUAGAUUAGGUAGAUUAGACAGAUCCAUUAGAUAGAUAGAUAGAUAGAUAGACCAAUGGGUAGAUUAAUAGAUUAGAUAGAGUUAUUUCCAGAGAGUAGUCUAGUUGCAGGCAUGCACUCUGGAAGGAGAUGACUGACUCACAUGCAGAAGGGUGGAGAGAAUAGAAAGCAGGGAAAGCACCAUUAUAAUAACACAGACUGUAGAUUAAAGAGGCAAUUAUAUAGUCCCUUUAAUCUGAGGGACCGCCUCACUCCCUACAAACCCCAGAGAUCCCUCCGUUCUGAGGACCAAGACCUAUUGGAAGUCCCCAGUUUUAAGACCUUGCAUCUAACAAGAACUAGACGCAGAGCCUUUUCAGUAGUGGCGCCAUCGUUCUGGAACACCUUGCCACCUGAAGUCCGUGCCUUGCGGGACUUGUCGGCCUUCCGCAGGGCAUGUAAGACACAUCUGUUUCGACAAGCUUUUGAGUUCUGUUGUUGAUGUUUUAAAAGGUGCUUUUAGGAUGUUUUUAAGAUGUUUUUAAAAGAUGUUUGUAAGAUUUUUUUUUAAUUGUUGAUUUUAGCCGAUUCUUGUAAGCCGCUCCGAGCCCUAGGGGAAUGGCGGCAUAUAAGUUUGUAAAAUAAAUAAAUAAAUAAAUAAAAUAAUCAUAUAUAUAUAUAUA